AGGCUACACGUCCAUCCUUGAGCGUGGCCCUGCGGGAGGAAGGAGGCCGUGAGCGGGGUCAUCCGAGCUGCGUCAUCCUCGGGGCUGUGAGGUCUGCAAAGGAAGCAAUGUCACAUUCACUGCUGCACUUACAACACGGGCUGCGGUGUUUGGCACAUAGUGCCCUGAAAAAGAAUUACUAAGUUACCAGUACCACUGAUUUUAUUAAAUGGUUUACUUCUAAUAACUAUUAAAUGAUUUAUUUUUAUUAUAUCAAUAAGUAAAUGACUAAGUUUGGAAAA
Molecule: non-coding RNA, 281 nt
Organism: Heterocephalus glaber (naked mole-rat)
Lineage: Eukaryota; Metazoa; Chordata; Mammalia; Rodentia; Bathyergidae
Source: RefSeq, a predicted model, not a curated record